Molecule: ribosomal RNA, 634 nt
Filed under: Oenococcus oeni
Lineage: Bacteria; Bacillati; Bacillota; Bacilli; Lactobacillales; Lactobacillaceae
Description: bacterial SSU rRNA
Rfam family: Bacterial small subunit ribosomal RNA
Source: RNAcentral
ACUUGCCUAAUACAUGCAAGUCGUACGCUAGCCGCUGAAUUGAUCCUUCGGGUGAAGUGAGGCAAUGACUAGAGUGGCGAACUGGUGAGUAACACGUAAGAAACCUGCCCUUUAGUGGGGGAUAACAUUUGGAAACAGAUGCUAAUACCGCGUAACAACAAAUCACACAUGUGAUCUGUUUGAAAGGUCCUUUUGGAUCGCUAGAGGAUGGUCUUGCGGCGUAUUAGCUUGUUGGUAGGGUAGAAGCCUACCAAGGCAAUGAUGCGUAGCCGAGUUGAGAGACUGGCCGGCCACAUUGGGACUGAGACACUGCCCAAACUCCUACGGGAGGCUGCAGUAGGGAAUUUUCCGCAAUGCACGAAAGUGUGACGGAGCGACGCCGCGUGUGUGAUGAAGGCUUUCGGGUCGUAAAGCACUGUUGUAAGGGAAGAAUAACUGAAUUCAGAGAAAGUUUUCAGCUUGACGGUACCUUACCAGAAAGGGAUGGCUAAAUACGUGCCAGCAGCCGCGGUAAUACGUAUGUCCCGAGCGUUAUCCGGAUUUAUUGGGCGUAAAGCGAGCGCAGACGGUUUAUUAAGUCUGAUGUGAAAUCCCGAGGCCCAACCUCGGAACUGCAUUGGAAACUGAAGGAUUA